CCAGCUGCUGUGUCCUGGAGCAGCACUGUGGGAGGCCUGCACGAGAGAUCCGGGAACAAGAUCUGAAGCCUCUCGACAGCCACGGUGCAGAGCCAGAGGGCAGAGACUGACCCCCUGAAACCAAGAACCGAAAGAAAUGCUCCCUGAAAUCUGUUUAUCUCAAUAUGUUGCCAUGGUGGUUAAAAAUGACUGACACAAUGGACUGAGCCUCUCCAGUGAAUAAACACAGAUAAAUAUUUGAGGACACAGGCUGGAAGAGAAGCUUAAUUAUUAGCUUGUCCAAGUGUCUCCACUCAGCCCUAUUUAUAACUGCUCUGUGGACUUAAACCAAGAUAGUUAAAAAUAUCAGGAGAAAAAUACCAGGGAACUGUGAGGGCGGCUCGGCCACGUACCUCAACAUCCUGAGCCCCAGGACUAGCUGGCCAUCUGUCUAGCAGGGCUUGGAUCUCCUUCCUGUCUCUCGGCUGCUUGUGGAAAACUACAUGGUAAGCUCAAGAAGGCAAUCAUGCUAGAUUUAGU
Long non-coding RNA from Peromyscus maniculatus bairdii (prairie deer mouse), 519 nucleotides. RefSeq lists it as uncharacterized. NCBI's taxonomy places the organism in Eukaryota, Metazoa, Chordata, Mammalia, Rodentia, Cricetidae. The record is from RefSeq and is a predicted model, not a curated record.